RNAcentral lists this ribosomal RNA (341 nucleotides) under Kocuria sp. M68. RNAcentral's name for it is "bacterial SSU rRNA". It matches the Rfam family "Bacterial small subunit ribosomal RNA", at positions 1133 to 1475 of the family's 1533-position model. The record is from RNAcentral. Lineage: Bacteria; Bacillati; Actinomycetota; Actinomycetes; Micrococcales; Micrococcaceae.
GGGAUCAUAGGAGUGCCGGGGUCUAUGGAGGAAGGUGGGGAUGACGUCAAAUCAUCAUGCCCCUUAUGUCUUGGGCUUCACGCCUGCUACAAUGGCCGGUACAAAGGGUUGCGAUACUGUGAGGUGGAGCUAAUCCCAAAAAGCCGGUCUCAGUUCGGAUUGAGGUCUGCAACUCGACCUCAUGAAGUCGGACUCGCUAGUAAUCGCAGAUCAGCAACGCUGCGGUGAAUACGUUCCCGGGCCUUGUACACACCGCCCGUCAAGUCACGAAAGUUGGUAACACCCGAAGCCGGUGGCCUAACCCCUUGUGGGAGGGAGCCGUCGAAGGUGGGACUGGCGAU